UCCGCCAGGGUACUACAAGCGCUAGCUUAAAACCCAAAGGACUUGACGGUGUCUCAGACCCCCCUAGAGGAGCCUGUUCUAGAACCGAUAAUCCCCGUUAAACCUCACCACCCCUUGCCUCCCCCGCCUAUAUACCGCCGUCGCAAGCUUACCCUGUGAAGGCCCUUACAGUAAGCAAAAUGGGUAAAACCCAAAACGUCAGGUCGAGGUGUAGCUCACGAGGUGGAAAGAAAUGGGCUACAUUUUCUAUAACAGAAUAUUCACGAACAACAUCAUGAAACCGAUGUUUAAAGGUGGAUUUAGCAGUAAAAA
This 312-nucleotide ribosomal RNA is filed under the name Triportheus paranensis. RNAcentral describes it as "partial small subunit ribosomal RNA". It matches the Rfam family "Bacterial small subunit ribosomal RNA", at positions 868 to 1344 of the family's 1533-position model. Lineage: Eukaryota; Metazoa; Chordata; Actinopteri; Characiformes; Triportheidae. The record is from RNAcentral.